Cercocebus atys (sooty mangabey) is the source of this 353-nucleotide long non-coding RNA. RefSeq lists it as uncharacterized. The record is from RefSeq and is a predicted model, not a curated record. The transcript is spliced from 3 exons. Lineage: Eukaryota; Metazoa; Chordata; Mammalia; Primates; Cercopithecidae.
CUCCCAAGAAGCUGGGACUAUAGGCGUGCACCACCAUGCCCAGACCCCAGAAAUGCCAACGAUCCAGCUUCAAUGAUGCAAAUGAAGACCUCAGGGAACAACAGAGUAAUGAGAGAAGGAACCUAGGUCCCUGAAUGACUCUGGAGCAGAUAUGCCCCAGACAUUUUACCAUGCCCCGUACCUCCAACGAGGCGAAGAGGACACAGACACAACAGAGGAAAGACCAUGUGAUCACACAGGGAGAAGAUGGUAAUCUGCAAGCAAUGUACAGGGACCUCAGAAGGAACAAACCCUGCCGGCACCUUGAUCUUGGACCUCCAGCCUUCAGGACUGUGAGAAAAUAAAUGUCUGUU